AGAGUUUGAUCMUGGCUCAGGAUGAACGCUAGCGGCAGGCCUAACACAUGCAAGUCGAGGGGUAACAGGUAGAAAGCUUGCUUUCUAUGCUGACGACCGGCGCACGGGUGAGUAACGCGUAUGCAACCUACCUUUAACAGGAGGAUAGCCCCGAGAAAUCGGGAUUAAUACUCCAUAACAUUUUAAUAUCGCAUGGUAUAAAAAUUAAAGUUUCGGCGGUUAAAGAUGGGCAUGCGUGACAUUAGUUAGUUGGUGAGGUAACGGCUCACCAAGGCAUCGAUGUCUAGGGGUUCUGAGAGGAUUGUCCCCCACACUGGUACUGAGACACGGACCAGACUCCUACGGGAGGCAGCAGUGAGGAAUAUUGGUCAAUGGUCGAAAGACUGAACCAGCCAUGCCGCGUGCAGGAAGAAUGCGCUAUGCGUUGUAAACUGCUUUUCUACAGGAAGAAACCUAUUUACGUGUAAGUAGCUGCCGGUACUGUAGGAAUAAGCACCGGCUAACUCCGUGCCAGCAGCCGCGGUAAUA
Molecule: ribosomal RNA, 528 nt
Filed under: uncultured bacterium
Lineage: Bacteria
Description: bacterial SSU rRNA
Rfam family: Bacterial small subunit ribosomal RNA
Source: RNAcentral